AACGAGGACGGAGGCGGCCAGGCGGGGGCGUAGAGCUAGGCGCGCUCUGAUUGGCCCUCGCGUUUCUGCGGGGGCGGGGCGUGCGCAGAAGGGAUCCCGCCGCCUGCGCGUCGCCCCGCCCGGGUCGGGGGUGGGAGUGGGCGGGGCUGGAGAGCGCUCUGGCGUGGAGACGGAGACUCGUCUGUGGCUCUUCGCUUCGUGAAGUCGACCGCCGCGGUAGUAAAGCUUUCUCUCGAGGACAGGCGCGCAGUGGGCUUGAGGCUGGAGGUCGAGGGGAGAAGUGAGGCAGAGACGGACAGUUAGGUCCUACUAAAAUGAGAAAAUACCCACGGGGCCUAAGGGAGUGGGAAAGAACAGGGAUGAGAGAGAUGAUGGCAUAUUCUUGCUGGAAAAACAAAAGCUCUCUGUAGGCGCUGCCCUCUGAAACAUGGGAGAAGGAAGCCUGUUCCACACCCAUGAAAGGAAUGACAGCCCUGAAGGUUGAUAAGUGGCUGUUGGAAUUCUUCCCUUUUCUGGAAGAGCAGUGUUUGCAGCUGAAUGUCAUCCACCCUUCACCAGUUUUGUGAUCUGUGAUUAUACUCUGUACAGUUUUAGUUUCCCAUGUUCAACCUUAGUCUAAAAAUGUUAAAUAGAAAAUUCCAGAAAUAAAGGUAUUGCCAGUUUUA
Molecule: long non-coding RNA, 665 nt
Organism: Octodon degus (degu)
Lineage: Eukaryota; Metazoa; Chordata; Mammalia; Rodentia; Octodontidae
Exons: 3
Source: RefSeq, a predicted model, not a curated record